AUGAACCUGGCAGCGACCCAAAGGAGCCUGGGUAUUCGAGACGCCGCGGGGAGGCNNNNNNNNNNNNNNNNNNNNNNNNNNNNNGACCCCGGCGCUAGGCCAGGGCGCAGAGCUGCGCGUGCGCAGAAGACCCGGCGGGCCGUUGCGCGGCAAGCUCUCUUGAGGCAGCGGUCUUCCGCCCCAAAAUUUACAGUGGAUGGUCAGACGUGGUGGCGCAUGCCUGUAAUCCCAGCACUCGAGAGGCUGAGGCAGGAGGAUUGCUGUGAGUUCGAGACCAUCCUGAGCUGCAUAGUGAGUUCCAGGUCAGUCUCAACUAUAUAGUGAGAUCCUAUCUCAAAAAAAAAAAAAAGAAAUUACAGUGGAAGCAGGGUUAAUGGAUCUAUACUACUUCAGUUACAAUCCAAAUUCAAACAUUGAUAACUGUGAGCAGUUUACUUCAACUCUCAGUACCUGUUUCUUGUCUAUCAAAUUUAGACUCUUUAUCUCACAGGCUUGGUGUGAGGAUUAAGCGAGGUAAUAUAUACAUAUGUAUAUAUUACAUAUGUAUAUAUAAGUAUACACUUAGAAUAGGGCAUAAAAAAAUUGUAUUCCAGCCAGGGAUUUAGUUCAGUGGUUCCGCCGCCUGUCUUGCAAACACAAGGACCCCAGUUCGAUCCCUGGUACCAAAAAAAAAAAAGUGUAUUCCAUAAGAAAACCAAGUUUCAGAGAAAUUAAGUAGGGAC
Molecule: long non-coding RNA, 722 nt
Filed under: Fukomys damarensis (Damara mole-rat)
Lineage: Eukaryota; Metazoa; Chordata; Mammalia; Rodentia; Bathyergidae
Description: lncRNA (ENSFDAG00000027659.1)
Source: RNAcentral